CCUACGGGUUGCAGCAGUGGGGAAUUUUGGACAAUGGGCGCAAGCCUGAUCCAGCAAUGCCGCGUGAGUGAAGAAGGCCUUCGGGUUGUAAAGCUCUUUUGUCAGGGAAGAAACGGCCGAGAAUAAUACUCUUGGCUAAUGACGGUACCUGAAGAAUAAGCACCGGCUAACUACGUGCCAGCAGCCGCGGUAAUACGUAGGGUGCAAGCGUUAAUCGGAAUUACUGGGCGUAAAGCGUGCGCAGGCGGUUUUGUAAGUCUGUCGUGAAAGCCCCGGGCUCAACCUGGGAAUUACGAUGGAGACUGCAAGGCUCGACUCUGGCAGAGGGGGGUAGAACUCCACGUGUAGCAGUGAAAUGCGUAGAGAUGUGGAGGAACACCGAUGGCGAAGGCAGCCCCCUGGGUCAAGAUUGACGCUCAUGCACGAAAGCGUGGGGAGCAAACAGGAUUAGAUACCCGCGUAGUC
RNAcentral lists this ribosomal RNA (465 nucleotides) under uncultured bacterium. RNAcentral describes it as "bacterial SSU rRNA". It matches the Rfam family "Bacterial small subunit ribosomal RNA", at positions 338 to 795 of the family's 1533-position model. The record is from RNAcentral.